Molecule: transfer RNA, 71 nt
Filed under: Phyllurus platurus
Lineage: Eukaryota; Metazoa; Chordata; Lepidosauria; Squamata; Carphodactylidae
Description: tRNA-Trp
Source: RNAcentral
AGAAACUUAGGUUACACCCAAACCAAGGGCCUUCAGAGCCCUAAACAAGAGCCCUCCCCUCUUAGUUUCUG